RNAcentral lists this ribosomal RNA (253 nucleotides) under uncultured bacterium. RNAcentral describes it as "partial 16S ribosomal RNA". It matches the Rfam family "Bacterial small subunit ribosomal RNA", at positions 524 to 776 of the family's 1533-position model. The record is from RNAcentral.
UACGUAGGGUGCGAGCGUUGUCCGGAAUUACUGGGCGUAAAGAGCUCGUAGGUGGUUUGUCGCGUUGUUCGUGAAAACCGGGGGCUUAACCCUCGGUGUGCGGGCGAUACGGGCAGACUUGAGUACUGCAGGGGAGACUGGAAUUCCUGGUGUAGCGGUGGAAUGCGCAGAUAUCAGGAGGAACACCGGUGGCGAAGGCGGCAUCCUGGACCGGCAUUGACGCUGAGGAGCGAAAGCCAGGGGAGCAAACGGG